AAAAAGGUUGUAUUUGUUUUCAUUUGUAUUCAGCAUAUUGUAAUUGAACAAAAAAAUCAAAAAAGAAGAAGAGGAAAUUCGAAAAAAAUUCAAAAAAAUUCAAAAAAAAAGAGUGUGAAGUUUGGAAAGUAUUUGCAAGUUCUGAAUUCUUUUUUUCUAUUAGUCCCAAUCACCGAGAUCAUUCUACCAUUUCUUCUACCCCUCCCAAAAAAAUGCCACACAUACUUUGAUUUUUUUUUUGUUUCAGCCUACCCUAUACACCCUAACGUUAUCCCUUGUAACCCAAUUUGAAGCCGACCCUCUAAGCCGCAAUAAGUCUUCUUGAAAAAAAUACGAAUUCACAAGGGUGAGACGAGUAGAAAAAGGCACAAGAGGUGAGUACAUUAGAGCAAGCAAAAGCCUUAAAGACAGAGUUCAAA
Molecule: long non-coding RNA, 419 nt
Filed under: Gossypium raimondii (Peruvian cotton)
Lineage: Eukaryota; Viridiplantae; Streptophyta; Magnoliopsida; Malvales; Malvaceae
Description: long non-coding RNA (GRAI_LNC003765)
Source: RNAcentral